CCCUAGCCCAGAUUGCAGUGAAAAUCCUUUUUUGAAAAAAAAAGAUUGUAACGGAAAGCUGGAAAUAGC
Molecule: non-coding RNA, 69 nt
Organism: Chryseobacterium sp.
Lineage: Bacteria; Pseudomonadati; Bacteroidota; Flavobacteriia; Flavobacteriales; Weeksellaceae
Source: Rfam